UGAGGAAUAUUGGUCAAUGGGGGCAACCCUGAACCAGCCAAGUCGCGUGAAGGAUGAAGGUCUUAUGGACUGUAAACUUCUUUUAUACAGGAAUAAAUUGGGGGACGUGUCCCCUUUUGCAUGUACUGUAUGAAUAAGGAUCGGCUAACUCCGUGCCAGCAGCCGCGGUAAUACGGAGGAUCCGAGCGUUAUCCGGAUUUAUUGGGUUUAAAGGGUGCGCAGGCGGGAUGUUAAGUCGGCGGUGAAAUUUUGCAGCUCAACUGUAAAAGUGCCUUCGAUACUGGCUUCCUUGAGUGUAGAUGAAGUAGGCGGAAUUUGUGGUGUAGCGGUGAAAUGCUUAGAUAUCACGAGGAACUCCGAUUGCGCAGGCAGCUUACUAAACUACAACUGACGCUCAUGCACGAAGGCGUGGGGAUCAAACA
This 422-nucleotide ribosomal RNA is filed under the name uncultured bacterium. RNAcentral's name for it is "bacterial SSU rRNA". It matches the Rfam family "Bacterial small subunit ribosomal RNA", at positions 355 to 774 of the family's 1533-position model. The record is from RNAcentral.